Molecule: long non-coding RNA, 702 nt
Filed under: Ananas comosus (pineapple)
Lineage: Eukaryota; Viridiplantae; Streptophyta; Magnoliopsida; Poales; Bromeliaceae
Description: long non-coding RNA (ACOM_LNC027557)
Source: RNAcentral
AAAAUUGUGGAUGAGAAGAAUUAGGAAGAUGCUGAAAGGGAUGCUAAGAUUCCGGGCAAGAAAGGAGGAGCGCCAGAGAAAAAUUAGAUAAAAUUUUAUGGAUCAAAGUUAUUAUCAUAAACACCAAGUAAAUUAUUAAAAUAUUUAUAUAAAUAAUAAAUAUUUGUAAAUAAAAUUACAUUUUUAAAUAAAUAAUAUUAUUGUGAGUUUUGCUACUGUGCUUGCAAAAGCACUAAUCUCUUGAUGUUUGUAAAUUUUUUACCGUCAGAUUUACGCUUUUAAUUAUUUUCACCUGUUAAAUUAUACUAUUCAACUAACAAUCCACUCAACCCUUAAAAGCCCACAUCACCCUAACCGUAUAUCUCUUAACUUAAUGACGAAAAAUCUACAAGCACCAAUAACUUGAUACCUUUAAAAGUAUAGGAGCUCAAUUCAUAUUAUUGUUUUUGUAGAAACAAUUAUAAUUUAACUUGGAUCUUAUCAGAGCUAUCGAAAUGUACUUGCAUUUGUCGUUAUAUUUCCAAAAAAAAUACUUGUACGUACUCAAUAUGGAUUCAUGUACGAGGAGUGUAAAUUUUACAUAUUUUUGAAUGUGCAGAUAGCAGUAUUAUUUGAUAGUAUUUAUAUACCUAUAAUAAUAAUCUUUACGUGGAACUAUAAAAUUUUGAACUCUAUUUUUUCGUUCAUAUACAAAUUUGUUCG